Non-coding RNA from Pelobates cultripes (western spadefoot toad), 1260 nucleotides. NCBI's taxonomy places the organism in Eukaryota, Metazoa, Chordata, Amphibia, Anura, Pelobatidae. The record is from the annotation of a GenBank genome assembly.
CGGCUAAACUACGGACAAAACCCUAAAAAUAGAGGUGACCCGCAACCAAACAACACCCAAGUAACCCCCACUGUAUACCUCAUGGGCAAGAAAACCAAAAAACUAAAGCCCGACCGACCCCGGCAGGGACACAGCAUCGGAGACCUCUGGCGGCAGGCACAUGGCGCCCAAGAGAGUAAGAUGGCGUCCCUCCUUGGAGGAUGCUCUGACUUCUCCGACGGGGCUUCGGAGGAAGAAGAGGGAAGCCUCACGCCAGCAAUGGUGCGGCAACCGGCAGAACGAGCGGCACCCCUGCACCGGACACCCGACACCGGCCCGGUGACACUAACGGCCAUCAGGGAGAUCAUGGCGGACCUCCAACUGAAAAUCUCGGCGGACGUGGCCUUGAUUCGGGAGGAUCUGCGAGGCCUGACGGGCCGCCUCGGUGAGGUAGAACACAAAACACAAAACCAUACACAACAAAUUAAAGAGCUGGAAAAAAGGGUGGAAGAGCUCACACAACAGGGCACUGCCUAUGAAGGCAGAUUCGACACCCUAGAAGACAAGCGGAGACAGAAGAACAUAAAACUCAGAGGAGUCUCCGAGACAGUUCCACCUGAGGAACUCCCCCAUUUUGCUAGACGACUCCUAGCAGCUAUACUCACACCAAAACAGGCUAAGGCAGUGCCUCUGGAAGGCAUAUUCCGACUUCCAAAACCAGCCAAGGCACCACCCACAGCCUCAGGCGACCUAGUGAUGCAAUUCCAGGGUCUCAGGGACAAAGCAGCCGUGAUGACAGCCAUCAGAGGGCAAACACCAUACAACUUUGAAGGGAUGUCCAUAACCUUCUUUGCGGAUCUCUCCGGGGGAACCCUCGCCUGGCGACGGUCACUCCGACCUCUAACCUCCCUCCUACGCAAGAAAACUAUCAGCUACCGAUGGAGCCAGGCUCGGACGCUGCUGAUCAAAAGCGGUGAAACCACCAUUACCAUACGAGACCUGCCAGAUGCAACACACCACCUGCAGGCACUGGGCCUCCCCCCGGAUUCGCUGGGCCCGACAAACCCUCAUGGCUGGGAUCCUGCAGCCACCCGUGACUUUAUACCCAGGGACACAGCUUCAGCCCCCCGAGCUAGGGCCACGACCUGAACCCAGAAGAUCGGGUUGACUCCCGGACGACACCCAGAGAGGUUGCCCUAUCUCCACCACAAUACUCACCCAACGUUGCCAAUACAUCCCCGCACCAACUAGGCCACUCACAUACCGAUCAGACGACCUAUG